UUGACGGGGGCCCGCACAAGCGGUGGAAGCAUGUGGUUUAUUUCGAUGCAACGCGAAAAAACCUUACCUACUCUUGACAUCCUGCGAAACUUGUGAGAGAAUCACUUGGUGCCUUCGGGAACGCAGAGACAGGUGCUGCAUGGCUGUCGUCAGCUCGUGUUGUGAAAUGUUGGGUUAAGUCCCGUAACGAGCGCAACCUUUGUCCUUAUUUGCCAGCGGGUAAUGCCGGGACUCUAAGGAGACUGCCGGUGACAAACCGGGAGAAGGUGGGGGACGACGUCAAGUCAUCAUGGCC
Molecule: ribosomal RNA, 295 nt
Filed under: bacterium HB-72
Lineage: Bacteria
Description: partial 16S ribosomal RNA
Rfam family: Bacterial small subunit ribosomal RNA
Source: RNAcentral